Small nucleolar RNA from Ornithorhynchus anatinus (platypus), 134 nucleotides. NCBI's taxonomy places the organism in Eukaryota, Metazoa, Chordata, Mammalia, Monotremata, Ornithorhynchidae. The record is from RefSeq and is a predicted model, not a curated record.
CCCCUCUCAGGGUCACACCUGGAGAGUUUCCAGUACUCUACCAGUCUUGAUUACGGGAGAUUCAACCAGAGGCACAUCCAUUCCAUUCCUAGCUUGGGCAGUGGCUAGCGAGUGGAAGGUAAUCUGCUACAAGU